RNAcentral lists this ribosomal RNA (699 nucleotides) under uncultured Desulfobacterales bacterium. RNAcentral's name for it is "bacterial SSU rRNA". It matches the Rfam family "Bacterial small subunit ribosomal RNA", at positions 8 to 680 of the family's 1533-position model. The record is from RNAcentral. Lineage: Bacteria; Pseudomonadati; Thermodesulfobacteriota; Desulfobacteria; Desulfobacterales.
AGAGUUUGAUCCUGGCUCAGAAUGAACGCUGGCGGCGUGCUUAACACAUGCAAGUCGCACGAGAACGCUUCAGCUUGCUGAAGUUAGUAAAGUGGCGCACGGGUGAGUAACGCGUGGGUAAUCUACCCCCGAAUUGGGGAUAACAUCGCGAAAGCGAUGCUAAUACCGAAUGAUAUCUUGAAAACUCUGUUUUCUGGAUCAAAGGUGGCCUCUACAUGUAAGCUAUUGUUUGGGGAUGAGCCCGCGUACCAUUAGCUUGUUGGUAGGGUAAUGGCCUACCAAGGCAACGAUGGUUAGCUGGUCUGAGAGGAUGAUCAGCCACACUGGAACUGACACACGGUCCAGACUCCUACGGGAGGCAGCAGUGAGGAAUUUUGCGCAAUGGGGGAAACCCUGACGCAGCAACGCCGCGUGAGUGAUGAAGGCUUUCGGGUCGUAAAGCUCUGUCAAGUGGGAAGAAACCAUAUGGUGUUAAUAUCGCCAUAUGCUGACGGUACCAUUGAAGGAAGCACCGGCUAACUCCGUGCCAGCAGCCGCGGUAAUAGGGGGGGUGCGAGCGUUAUUCGGAUUUACUGGGCGUAAAGAGCGCGUAGGCGGUCUUUUAAGUCAGGUGUGAAAGCCCGGGGCUCAACCUCGGAAGUGCACUUGAAACUAAGAGACUUGAGUAUGGGAGAGGGAAGUGGAAUUCCUGGUGUAGCG